Molecule: ribosomal RNA, 760 nt
Filed under: Bacillus pumilus
Lineage: Bacteria; Bacillati; Bacillota; Bacilli; Caryophanales; Bacillaceae
Description: bacterial SSU rRNA
Rfam family: Bacterial small subunit ribosomal RNA
Source: RNAcentral
CGGACAGAAGGGAGCUUGCUCCCGGAUGUUAGCGGCGGACGGGUGAGUAACACGUGGGUAACCUGCCUGUAAGACUGGGAUAACUCCGGGAAACCGGAGCUAAUACCGGAUAGUUCCUUGAACCGCAUGGUUCAAGGAUGAAAGACGGUUUCGGCUGUCACUUACAGAUGGACCCGCGGCGCAUUAGCUAGUUGGUGAGGUAACGGCUCACCAAGGCGACGAUGCGUAGCCGACCUGAGAGGGUGAUCGGCCACACUGGGACUGAGACACGGCCCAGACUCCUACGGGAGGCAGCAGUAGGGAAUCUUCCGCAAUGGACGAAAGUCUGACGGAGCAACGCCGCGUGAGUGAUGAAGGUUUUCGGAUCGUAAAGCUCUGUUGUUAGGGAAGAACAAGUGCAAGAGUAACUGCUUGCACCUUGACGGUACCUAACCAGAAAGCCACGGCUAACUACGUGCCAGCAGCCGCGGUAAUACGUAGGUGGCAAGCGUUGUCCGGAAUUAUUGGGCGUAAAGGGCUCGCAGGCGGUUUCUUAAGUCUGAUGUGAAAGCCCCCGGCUCAACCGGGGAGGGUCAUUGGAAACUGGGAAACUUGAGUGCAGAAGAGGAGAGUGGAAUUCCACGUGUAGCGGUGAAAUGCGUAGAGAUGUGGAGGAACACCAGUGGCGAAGGCGACUCUCUGGUCUGUAACUGACGCUGAGGAGCGAAAGCGUGGGGAGCGAACAGGAUUAGAUACCCUGGUAGUCCACGCCGUAAACGAU